Molecule: ribosomal RNA, 216 nt
Filed under: Glomeromycotina sp.
Lineage: Eukaryota; Fungi; Glomeromycota
Description: partial small subunit ribosomal RNA
Rfam family: Eukaryotic small subunit ribosomal RNA (bases 87-216)
Source: RNAcentral
GGGUCAGUAGGUUGGUCGUGCCACCGGUACGUACUGGUCUCACUGAUUCCUCCUUCCCGAAGAACCGUAAUGCCAUUAAUUUGGCGUUGCGGGGAAACAGGACUGUUACUUUGAAAAAAUUAGAGUGUUUAAAGCAAGCUAACGCUUGAAUACAUUAGCAUGGAAUAAUGAAAUAGGACGAUCGAUCCUAUUUUGUUGGUUUCUAGGAUUGACGUA